UCUAAUUGUAUGGGGCGAUAUACAGCAC
This 28-nucleotide small RNA is filed under the name Bombyx mori (domestic silkworm). Its description in RNAcentral is "ovarian small RNA-7682". Lineage: Eukaryota; Metazoa; Arthropoda; Insecta; Lepidoptera; Bombycidae. The record is from RNAcentral.